This 655-nucleotide ribosomal RNA is filed under the name Clostridium novyi B str. NCTC 9691. RNAcentral describes it as "bacterial SSU rRNA". It matches the Rfam family "Bacterial small subunit ribosomal RNA", at positions 1 to 669 of the family's 1533-position model. The record is from RNAcentral. Lineage: Bacteria; Bacillati; Bacillota; Clostridia; Eubacteriales; Clostridiaceae.
UUUAAAUUGAGAGUUUGAUCCUGGCUCAGGACGAACGCUGGCGGCGUGCCUAACACAUGCAAGUCGAGCGAUGAAACUUCCUUCGGGAAGUGGAUUAGCGGCGGACGGGUGAGUAACACGUGGGUAACCUGCCUCAAAGAGGGGGAUAGCCUCCCGAAAGGGAGAUUAAUACCGCAUAACAUUAUUUUAUGGCAUCAUAGAAUAAUCAAAGGAGCAAUCCGCUUUGAGAUGGACCCGCGGCGCAUUAGCUAGUUGGUGAGGUAAGGGCUCACCAAGGCGACGAUGCGUAGCCGACCUGAGAGGGUGAUCGGCCACAUUGGAACUGAGACACGGUCCAGACUCCUACGGGAGGCAGCAGUGGGGAAUAUUGCGCAAUGGGGGAAACCCUGACGCAGCAACGCCGCGUGAGUGAUGAAGGUUUUCGGAUCGUAAAACUCUGUCUUUAGGGACGAUAAUGACGGUACCUAAGGAGGAAGCCACGGCUAACUACGUGCCAGCAGCCGCGGUAAUACGUAGGUGGCAAGCGUUGUCCGGAUUUACUGGGCGUAAAGAGUAUGUAGGUGGGUGCUUAAGUCAGAUGUGAAAUUCCCGGGCUUAACCUGGGCGCUGCAUUUGAAACUGGGCAUCUAGAGUGCAGGAGAGGAAAGUGGAAUUC